GACGAACGCUGGCGGCGUGCUUAACACAUGCAAGUCGAACGGUAAGGCCCUUCGGGGUACACGAGUGGCGAACGGGUGAGUAACACGUGGGUGAUCUGCCCUGCACCUCGGGAUAAGCCUGGGAAACUGGGUCUAAUACCGGAUAGGACCCUGGGAUGCAUGUCCUGGGGUGGAAAGCUUUUGCGGUGUGGGACGGGCCCGCGGCCUAUCAGCUUGUUGGUGGGGUGAUGGCCUACCAAGGCGACGACGGGUAGCCGGCCUGAGAGGGUGACCGGCCACACUGGGACUGAGAUACGGCCCAGACUCCUACGGGAGGCAGCAGUGGGGAAUAUUGCACAAUGGGCGCAAGCCUGAUGCAGCGACGCCGCGUGAGGGAUGACGGCCUUCGGGUUGUAAACCUCUUUCAGCACCGACGAAGCGCAAGUGACGGUAGGUGCAGAAGAAGGACCGGCCAACUACGUGCCAGCAGCCGCGGUAA
RNAcentral lists this ribosomal RNA (478 nucleotides) under uncultured bacterium. Its description in RNAcentral is "partial 16S ribosomal RNA". It matches the Rfam family "Bacterial small subunit ribosomal RNA", at positions 28 to 523 of the family's 1533-position model. The record is from RNAcentral.